AGGAGUGGGACCACCAUGGUCCAGCAUGCAAUCUGCACAGCUUUCUCAUCUUACAGACACCAAAGAGCUCAGAAGGAGCUGAGGGGAAUUCACUCCACAACCCGGAAAUUAUCCACUGCUUCUGGUCAUGGGGACUGUGAUGCAUGAAUCCCCCAGGCCGAGGGGUCACAGCCUGAGACACUGCUGACCAUGGGGUGCCAGCAAAGGUGCCCAGUGUCCUUACUCAAAGACACCAGUGUGUCUGUGUGUCUACUCCUACAUUCACAUGCGUGCGUGCACACACCCACAGAGACAGUGUCUUUCCACUGCAGAGAUGGGCUCAGCCAUGUCCCUUCUUAGGACACUUCCAGCAGUCAGUUCAGGGCCAGUGCCAAGGAGCUGGCUGCGGAUGGCUCGUUUUAUCAGGGUUCCCCAGAGAGAUCUUGAAAACGUGUGGGCAGGGAGAACACAGUCCCUUUAAGAUGUCCUGGGAGGGAUCCAGCAGACAGUAGCUUUGCGGCUUUACAAGCUGAUGACACAGCAACCUGGGAAACUCUUCCCUGUGGGAGAAGAAAGGCCCAGGGACAGCGGAGGACACUGAGGCUGGCAGGCAGAGGUCUCAGACACCAGCAUGAAGUGGAGUUGCAGGCACAGAGGCCAUUGCCCAAUUUUUAUUUUAGAUCUUCCUGGGCUUCCUUUCUUUGGGAAGGGUAGAUGUGUGCUGCUUGGUCUCCAGGAUGAACCCGUCACGCUCGCUUCCUGGCAUGUACCCGACUGUGCUUCUCAUGGGAGGAGCUCAGGCCUCCGUGUCACUGAGGAUGGCUGUGGUGCCUUUCAGGACAUCCCUGGUCUUUGUUGUGAGUGUGACUUCUCGGCUCCAGUGUAGAACCCUCAACCUACCAGCAAACCUCGCUGGCAUGGACUUUCUGGCUUCUACCGCUGACCUUUGGGCCUUUCCAGGCUCUGAUCUGUAAAACAUAUUGGUGUGAGUCGUUGUGGGCUCUAGACCUCCAGUUGGACUCAUGGGAGGCACUGUCAGGGACUCUAGGUUUUCAUCUGGACUCAUGCAGGACAUUGCUGUGGGAUUCAGGACCUUGGCUGAAUAUUCUAUGUCUUUGGUGUUGUGGAUAGAUUUCCUGCACUAAUGCUUUUUCUGGGUGACCAUCAUAAAAUAAUAUUAUAAAUUCCAUGUCCUGAUUUUAACUGUUCUCCUCACAACCCCUGACUACAACAAGGGAUAAAAGAAGAUCAGGCUCCUAAGACCUUGACCAAACCCCAGUCUCAUGCUGAGAGCACAGGAGGGUAAUGUUACACACAGGAAAGUGAAGUUACUACAGGCAGCUAAGUUUGAUAGAAAUCAGUGGGGGACUGAACACUCAAGGAAGACAGCAGAAAACACGAAGGCUUUAGAACCCGGGCUGGAGGUGCACCUGUUGAAGGCCAGGCCUCAAGAUAGAGAUGUAGGGCUGGGGAUUUAGCUCAGCAGCAUAAACGCCUGCCUUGCAAGUGCAUGGUCGUGAGUUCAAUGCCCAGUACCAAAAAAAAAAAAAAAAAGAUAGAGAUGUAAAGGCCCACACAUCUCCCUAAGGAUAAGCAGGAACUUGGAACUAUAAUUGGUAUCUCCUGGUCCAGUGAAGUCCAGAUAAGAUAUCAACCACCGAGCAGGUGACCAAAGCACCCAAACCCAUUCCUUCCCAAAAAUGCUCCUUCCACAUACCUGCCCUACUGAGUGGCUAUACUUAACAUCUUAUUGGUUGGUUACAGUUUAACCCACACUAUACCCCACCUUAUGAUUUGGCUGUAUAAAACAUUCCUAGAUACACUCAUCAGUAACCAAUACACUAACACAGUUCCUACAGAAAUGACCUUGGUGCCAGCUUGCUUUCAGGUCCCCUCCUGUUGCUCAGCAGCUAUCUCUCAAUAAAGCUUUCCUGCUGUUAA
Long non-coding RNA from Cavia porcellus (domestic guinea pig), 1920 nucleotides. RefSeq lists it as uncharacterized. Lineage: Eukaryota; Metazoa; Chordata; Mammalia; Rodentia; Caviidae. The record is from RefSeq and is a predicted model, not a curated record. The transcript has 2 exons.